Long non-coding RNA from Cygnus atratus (black swan), 192 nucleotides. RefSeq lists it as uncharacterized. The transcript has 3 exons. Lineage: Eukaryota; Metazoa; Chordata; Aves; Anseriformes; Anatidae. The record is from RefSeq and is a predicted model, not a curated record.
AUACCUAUCUAUAUGGAGAGAAGCAUCCAUGUCGACUGUGGGACUACUUUGUGCAUGAUACUGAACAGCUGCAGGGACAAUUUGUGCAGAAGACUGUAAUGUUUCUUCUUGGUCACUGUAAUUGAGUCCUUUGUCUGGAUGCUAGAGCUGUGUUGCCUGGUACCUCCCCUGGCCCAAGUUUAACGUGCAAAG